GAAAUUCGCCUUCAUGAAGUCGGAAUUGCUAGUAAUGGCAGGUCAGCAUACUGCCGUGAAUACGUUCCCGGGCCUUGUACACACCGCCCGUCACACCAUGAGAGUUGGAGAUACCCGAAGCCUGUGAGCUAACUUUUAGAGGCAGCAGUCGAAGGUAGAAUCAAUGAUUGGGGUGAAGUCGUAACAAGGUACC
This 193-nucleotide ribosomal RNA is filed under the name uncultured bacterium. Its description in RNAcentral is "partial 16S ribosomal RNA". It matches the Rfam family "Bacterial small subunit ribosomal RNA", at positions 1307 to 1500 of the family's 1533-position model. The record is from RNAcentral.